GCAGCAUCAUAGAAGAGGGAGUCCAGCAGCAUCACAGAAGAGGGAGUCCAGCAGCAUCACAGAAGAGGGAGCCCAGCAGCAUCAUAGAAGAGGGAGCAGAGUAUAAGGGCCAGAGAACCAGAAUGUCUGCUGGGAGGCACUGGGUUCUAUGUAUGAAAAAGAAGCUGCAACCAUGAAAUCAACAAUACUCAACAAUGCCUGGAAAAUGACAAUGCUAAUGUAGAAAGGCUCCUACCUUAGAUGAAGAGCUACGGGUAAUACAUCAACGGCUGCUUAAAAGAGAGAAAAACCAGGCUUCUCCGGGGAUAAACUUCCUGAUAGGCUAUCCAGCUUCAAGUGUUCUGCCUAGGUGCCCCAAAUACAGAGCUCCCUGAGGACCCCAAAGGAGUGUAAAACAGACGCAAGAUGGAUGGCAUGACAGGAGCCUGCAUGCACUGCUCUAUGCUUUUCAGAAUCCAGUCUUCUAACCAUGUACCUGUAGAAGAAAUAGUUGAAAUGUGUGUCUCCACCUCCUCUCUCGUUCUGGAGAAGCAGAGUACUUGCUGAAAGUGGAUAUACCGUGUGGAGUAAAAGGGGCAAUGAAAAUAAGAUGUCACUGGGCCUGCGGCCCCAGUGACCUAUAAGGAGCAACUGGAGAAAGUGUGUGAGUCGCAGGGUGCCAGCAGCAGUCCCCACAGCACCUCCCCUUUCCUCUCUAAAGUGUCACAAGUUGACAACUAAUGAUGUCGUCAACCCACACAUCAAUGAAAAGGUCUAAGAUGGAUGCUCCAGUCCUCAAAGGAAUGCCUAAGCAGAAGAAGUCACGGUCCUCCACUUGGCGCAAGAAGAUGCAUGAGUGGGGCUCCAGAAACAAACUACCCUGGGCACUUCAUCUCCUCCUGUUGGUCUCAGCUUACACAGAUGCACAGCCACCACUUCAUGGUAGACUUUCCAUGGUUAUUUAAAAGGAAUAUUGGCUCGGUAUUGACACUAAUAAAUGCAGCAGACUUGGAGAGAACCUUCGAGGCUCUCUCCUGUCAGCACCAGCUCUGGUAAAACUCACAGCUGCUGAGAACGGGGAGCAAAGACCUUGCCAUAGAGGGAAGGAAGAGCGGUGUGCGAUUGGUACUUUGCAGCAUGGAUACCCUACAUAUACACACUUGCUCAGCAUGUAUUA
Myodes glareolus (Bank vole) is the source of this 1156-nucleotide long non-coding RNA. RefSeq lists it as uncharacterized. Lineage: Eukaryota; Metazoa; Chordata; Mammalia; Rodentia; Cricetidae. The record is from RefSeq and is a predicted model, not a curated record.